GACGAACCGUCCGAACGUUAUUCGGAAUCACUGGGCUUAAAGGGUGCGUAGGCGGCGCGGAAAGUUGGGUGUGAAAUCCCUCGGCUUAACCGAGGAACGGCGCCCAAAACUACCGUGCUCGAGGGAGAUAGAGGUGAGCGGAACUUAGGGUGGAGCGGUGAAAUGCGUUGAUAUCCUAAGGAACACCGGUGGCGAAAGCGGCUCACUGGACCGGUUCUGACGCUGAGGCGCGAAAGCGUGGGGAGCAAACGGG
RNAcentral lists this ribosomal RNA (253 nucleotides) under uncultured bacterium. RNAcentral's name for it is "partial 16S ribosomal RNA". It matches the Rfam family "Bacterial small subunit ribosomal RNA", at positions 524 to 776 of the family's 1533-position model. The record is from RNAcentral.